UCAGCCAAUUGCAAAAGCUGCUUUCUUUCCUGUCCCACCUACCACAUCCUCUCAUUUUGUUUCUGUCUCUUUCAUCAUCAUUCACCCACAGUGCUUGCUGUUCCUGUACUCCCAGACCGGCAUGCUUGGCUGAAAAUUGAACUGUUGAGCUGGGAGGAAACAAUUGCUUUGGACCAGUGCCAUGUUCCAGAUACGGGGAGCAAUGAGCUGGUGGUGGAGAGGCUGGAGACUGACACCCCAACCCCACGAAACGAUUGGGGCUGAAGUGGACAAAUGAAGUUACUGAAUCUUGAAAAUGGGCUGAAAUGAAACACCCCGGAACUGAGCACCCAGGAUGGUUGGGUUUGCCGUGUUGAGUGGCAGAUUCUUGUCCACCAGGUGGUGAAUGUUUUGGAGGCAAGACCGUUGCUGUUGGCUCCAUUAAAAUGUCCAUGUGUGAGGACAUGUUGCUGUGCAAUUACCGCAAGUGCCGUGUCAAGCUCUCCGGCUACGCCUGGGUCACAGCUUGUUCACACAUCUUCUGCGACCAGCACGGCAGUGGGGAAUUCAGCCGUUCACCAGCAGUCUGUCCCGCCUGCAACAGCACCCUCUCUGGCAAGCUGGACAUUGUUCGCACUGAGCUAAGUCCCUCUGAGGAAUACAAGGCCAUGGUGUUGGCUGGACUGCGGCCAGAGAUUGUGCUGGACAUCAGCUCCCGCGCAUUAGCCUUCUGGACAUACCAGGUUCACCAGGAGCGCCUGUACCAGGAAUACACCUACAGCAAGGCCGAGGGACACCUGAAGCAGAUGGAGAAGGUGUACACUCAGCAGCUGCAGAGCAAGGACAUGGAACUGACUUCUAUGAAGAGUGAGGUCUCCUCCCUGAAGAAGGUGCUGGAGGAAUACAAGAAGAAGUUCAGCGAGCUCUCGGAGAAGCUCAUGGAGCGCAACCGCCAAUACCAGAAGCUCCAGGGCCUCUAUGACAGCCUCCGCCUGCGCAACAUUGCCGUGGCUAAUCAGGAGGCUGCCCACGAGCCUCCCAUGAUGCCUCAGCCUGUGAUCUUUGGCUUCCCAUUGGGUAAUGCUGCCAGGUUCCCCGGGGACACCACGCCGGUCCGGGGCAGGUGUGGGGAGGGAGACUUCCACUUCAAACCCUUCUUUGCCACAUCCCCACCUGCGGGCGAAUCUGGCAACAGCUUCUUCACCUUCUCCUCUCCCAGCAAUGAGCUGGAGCCUCACCCUGGAGCCAGCAGGACCUACAAGAUGAAGAGGAUGUAACUGGCUGAAAAUGGAAUUGAUGAGCUGGAAGGAAACAAUUGCUUUGGACCAAUGCCAUAUUCCAGAUAUGGGGAGCAAUGAGCUGGUGGUGGAGAGGCUGGAGACUGACACCCCAACCCCAUGAAACGAUUGGGGUGAAGUGGACAAAUGAAGUAACUGAAUCUUGAAAAUGGGCUGAAAUGAAACACCCCGGAUCUGAGCACCAAGUACAGUAGGGUUAUAAAGGAUGGAAGACAGGAAGCAUCAGCAUUACAGAUGGGGAACUGAGGGGCAGGAACUCUGAAAACAAAAUUGGCUGGUUUCUCUUCUCCCUCCUCGCUCUGGAUCCCUUAUAGGAAUCACAGAUGGAUGAUUUGAGAUGAACCUUCAAGGAAAAUGUAUCUUUCUCUCCACCAGCAUCAACUGUAAGAGAGAAUUUGGGGCCUGAAGAUUAAAAGAUUUGCCCUGUCUCUGAUCUGUAUUACAAGGACUCUUUGAAGUUAUGUCCAGGAAAGGCUGUACUAAAACCAGGAUAAUUAAACUAGAAUGGAUGUGUAA
Caretta caretta (loggerhead turtle) is the source of this 1793-nucleotide non-coding RNA. Lineage: Eukaryota; Metazoa; Chordata; Testudines; Cheloniidae. The record is from RefSeq and is a predicted model, not a curated record.